GCGUCCGUAGCUCAGCUGGAUAGAGCACUCCUUUCGCAAGGAGAGGUGGGGGGUUCGAGUCCCCCCGGAAUACA
This 74-nucleotide transfer RNA is filed under the name Bradyrhizobium brasilense. RNAcentral describes it as "tRNA-OTHER". The stretch from base 4 to 69 matches the Rfam family "tRNA". From Rfam's summary of the family: Transfer RNA (tRNA) molecules are approximately 80 nucleotides in length. Their secondary structure includes four short double-helical elements and three loops (D, anti-codon, and T loops). Further hydrogen bonds mediate the characteristic L-shaped molecular structure. tRNAs have two regions of fundamental functional importance: the anti-codon, which is responsible for specific mRNA codon recognition, and the 3' end, to which the tRNAs corresponding amino acid is attached (by aminoacyl-tRNA synthetases). tRNAs cope with the degeneracy of the genetic code in two manners: having more than one tRNA (with a specific anti-codon) for a particular amino acid; and 'wobble' base-pairing, i.e. permitting non-standard base-pairing at the 3rd anti-codon position. Lineage: Bacteria; Pseudomonadati; Pseudomonadota; Alphaproteobacteria; Hyphomicrobiales; Nitrobacteraceae. The record is from RNAcentral.